This 253-nucleotide ribosomal RNA is filed under the name uncultured bacterium. RNAcentral's name for it is "partial 16S ribosomal RNA". It matches the Rfam family "Bacterial small subunit ribosomal RNA", at positions 524 to 776 of the family's 1533-position model. The record is from RNAcentral.
UACAGAGGUCCCAAGCGUUGUUCGGAUUCACUGGGCGUAAAGGGUGCGUAGGCGGCCAGGUAAGUUUGAUGUGAAAUCCCGCAGCUUAACUGCGGAACUGCAUUGGAUACUAUCUGGCUAGAGGAAUGGAGGGGAGACUGGAAUUCUCGGUGUAGCAGUGAAAUGCGUAGAUAUCGAGAGGAACACCAGUGGCGAAGGCGAGUCUCUGGACAUUUCCUGACGCUGAGGCACGAAAGCCAGGGGAGCAAACGGG